GAUGAACGCUGGCGGCGUGCCUAAUACAUGCAAGUCGAGCGAACAGAUGAGAAGCUUGCUCUUCUGACGUUAGCGGCGGACGGGUGAGUAACACGUGGAUAACCUACCUAUAAGACUGGGAUAACUUCGGGAAACCGGAGCUAAUACCGGAUAAUAUAUUGAACCGCAUGGUUCAAUAGUGAAAGACGGUUUUGCUGUCACUUAUAGAUGGAUCCGCGCUGCAUUAGCUAGUUGGUAAGGUAACGGCUUACCAAGGCAACGAUGCGUAGCCGACCUGAGAGGGUGAUCGGCCACACUGGAACUGAGACACGGUCCAGACUCCUACGGGAGGCAGCAGUAGGGAAUCUUCCGCAAUGGGCGAAAGCCUGACGGAGCAACGCCGCGUGAGUGAUGAAGGUCUUCGGAUCGUAAAACUCUGUUAUUAGGGAAGAACAAAUGUGUAAGUAACUAUGCACGUCUUGACGGUACCUAAUCAGAAAGCCACGGCUAACUACGUG
RNAcentral lists this ribosomal RNA (497 nucleotides) under uncultured bacterium. RNAcentral describes it as "partial 16S ribosomal RNA". It matches the Rfam family "Bacterial small subunit ribosomal RNA", at positions 28 to 507 of the family's 1533-position model. The record is from RNAcentral.